AUUGAACGCUGGCGGCAUGCCUUACACAUGCAAGUCGAACGGUAACGGGCCUUCGGGUGCCGACGAGUGGCGAACGGGUGAGUAAUACAUCGGAACGUGCCCGAUCGUGGGGGAUAACGAGGCGAAAGCUUUGCUAAUACCGCAUACGAUCUACGGAUGAAAGCAGGGGACCGCAAGGCCUUGCGCGGACGGAGCGGCCGAUGGCAGAUUAGGUAGUUGGUGGGAUAAAAGCUUACCAAGCCGACGAUCUGUAGCUGGUCUGAGAGGAUGAUCAGCCACACUGGGACUGAGACACGGCCCAGACUCCUACGGGAGGCAGCAGUGGGGAAUUUUGGACAAUGGGCGCAGGCCUGAUCCAGCCAUGCCGCGUGCAGGAUGAAGGCCUUCGGGUUGUAAACUGCUUUUGUACGGAACGAAAAGCCUUCUUUUAAUACAGGAGGGUCAUGACGGUACCGUAAGAAUAAGCACCGGCUAACUACGUG
Molecule: ribosomal RNA, 482 nt
Filed under: uncultured bacterium
Lineage: Bacteria
Description: partial 16S ribosomal RNA
Rfam family: Bacterial small subunit ribosomal RNA
Source: RNAcentral